AAACUAGCCAAGAGAUGAGUUCUCCCAACUUUAGAAGUUGUAAGGGUUGUUUGAGACUAAGACGUAGAUAGGCAGGGUGUGUAAGCGUUGUGAGACGUUGAGCUAACCUGUACUAAUUGCCCGAGAGACUUAACCAU
RNAcentral lists this ribosomal RNA (137 nucleotides) under Phocoenobacter skyensis. RNAcentral describes it as "partial 23S ribosomal RNA". It matches the Rfam family "Bacterial large subunit ribosomal RNA", at positions 2790 to 2925 of the family's 2925-position model. Lineage: Bacteria; Pseudomonadati; Pseudomonadota; Gammaproteobacteria; Pasteurellales; Pasteurellaceae. The record is from RNAcentral.